CAAUCUAUAAAGAUAAAAUGUCUGCUAUGCCAAUGGGAGGAAAAGCUCUGACUGCAAGCAAAAUUAUGUAGGCUUUACUCUGAGGGGGAAAAAAUCUUAUUAACAUUUAUAUUUAUAUCUUCAAUUUUCAGACAAUAGUUUUAGCUUUAUUUGGAGGCUGAAGUACCUUUCUGAUUUAAUAACAAGUGUACACCAGAAACUGUUCUCUUUUCCAGAAACAGAACUUUGCCAUGUGUUUCUUGAAAUAACUGAUAUAUAGUUUUAUUCAUAAAAAUUAAUCUAUAAUUCAAUUUCUUUUACAAUCAGUUGAUUCAAGAUAACUGACAACUGAAUGAACUGUGAUAAAGCUUUACUCUGUAAUGUACCUAACACAAUUAGCAUUUGGUAUAUUUCAUUGUAGGGAAAAAUCUGUUUAUGUUAUUUUUUUUUAUGCCAAAUGUUUCCUCUUUUGUUCCUUGACACUUGUAUACUCUUGAUUUUCAGUUGUGGUACUCCAGGCUUCAGGGGAAAGGAGAAACUUCUCUAAUUUAUUGGAUACUUCCCUAGAUGUUUAAAGGUGUGCCUCUUAAAAGUCUUUUCAGGAGGAGACUGCUCAGCUUCUCUGUGUAACCAGUGCCAGUGCUUCAUCACCUGUACAACACAGAAGUGCAUCCUGAAGUUCAGAGGGAACCUUCUGUGUUCUGGCUUGUGCCCAUUGCCUCUGGUCCUGGCACUGGACAUCACUGGAAAUAGCAUGACCUUGUGUUCUUUUCAUCCUCCUUUCAGGAAAAAAUUGCACCCACUGACAUUCACUAAUGCUUACUGAACAUUUAUGGAGACUAACCAGUGGAUAAGAUCACAGUGAGAUUCCAUAGAAAUAGGAGGUAUUACUUUUGGAGCCACCUGUGUAAGUGAAAAACAGAGAAACAAAAAAUCUCUAAAAUAUUAAAUUUGAUAGCACAGGUGUUUAAAACUUUUUAGAAAUAUGCUUAGACUUAUUUUUUCACGUUAAGGCCAAAUUAUUUCACAUGUAGUCUCAACAUUUCACAUAUGUUAGAAGAUAUUCCUUAGGGCAGAAGAAGUCUGUAAGCCUCCAGGAAUGGAGGAAGAUAUUGUGGCAGAUAAUUAUAGAGCAACUGCUUGCAGAUUUCCAGUUAUACAAGUAUUGGAAUGUGCAUUCAGGCUGUGUUCAUAUUUAAUAAAUCACAGGCAAAAAAAAUUGU
Molecule: long non-coding RNA, 1202 nt
Organism: Lagopus muta (rock ptarmigan)
Lineage: Eukaryota; Metazoa; Chordata; Aves; Galliformes; Phasianidae
Exons: 4
Source: RefSeq, a predicted model, not a curated record